CCUACGGGGGGCUGCAGUGGGGAAUAUUGGACAAUGGGGGCAACCCUGAUCCAGCCAUGCCGCGUGUGUGAAGAAGGCCCUCGGGUUGUAAAGCACUUUCAGUGAGGAAGAACGCCUGGUGGUUAAUACCCAUCAGGAAAGACAUCACUCACAGAAGAAGCACCGGCUAACUCCGUGCCAGCAGCCGCGGUAAUACGGAGGGUGCGAGCGUUAAUCGGAAUUACUGGGCGUAAAGCGCGCGUAGGUGGCUUGAUAAGCCGGUUGUGAAAGCCCCGGGCUCAACCUGGGAACGGCAUCCGGAACUGUCAAGCUAGAGUGCAGGAGAGGAAGGUAGAAUUCCCGGUGUAGCGGUGAAAUGCGUAGAGAUUGGGAGGAAUACCAGUGGCGAAGGCGGCCUUCUGGACUGACACUGACACUGAGGUGCGAAAGCGUGGGUAGCAAACAGGAUUAGAUACCCUGGUAGUC
RNAcentral lists this ribosomal RNA (465 nucleotides) under Vreelandella stevensii. RNAcentral's name for it is "partial 16S ribosomal RNA". It matches the Rfam family "Bacterial small subunit ribosomal RNA", at positions 338 to 795 of the family's 1533-position model. The record is from RNAcentral. Lineage: Bacteria; Pseudomonadati; Pseudomonadota; Gammaproteobacteria; Oceanospirillales; Halomonadaceae.